Molecule: ribosomal RNA, 484 nt
Filed under: uncultured bacterium
Lineage: Bacteria
Description: partial 16S ribosomal RNA
Rfam family: Bacterial small subunit ribosomal RNA
Source: RNAcentral
AUUGAACGCUGGCGGCAGGCCUAACACAUGCAAGUCGAGCGGAUGAAGGGAGCUUGCUCCUGGAUUCAGCGGCGGACGGGUGAGUAAUGCCUAGGAAUCUGCCUGGUAGUGGGGGAUAACGUCCGGAAACGGGCGCUAAUACCGCAUACGUCCUGAGGGAGAAAGUGGGGGAUCUUCGGACCUCACGCUAUCAGAUGAGCCUAGGUCGGAUUAGCUAGUUGGUGGGGUAAAGGCCUACCAAGGCGACGAUCCGUAACUGGUCUGAGAUGAUGAUCAGUCACACUGGAACUGAGACACGGUCCAGACUCCUACGGGAGGCAGCAGUGGGGAAUAUUGGACAAUGGGCGAAAGCCUGAUCCAGCCAUGCCGCGUGUGUGAAGAAGGUCUUCGGAUUGUAAAGCACUUUAAGUUGGGAGGAGGGGCAGUAAGUUAAUACCUUGCUGUUUUGACGUUACCAACAGAAUAAGCACCGGCUAACUUCGUG